Molecule: transfer RNA, 85 nt
Filed under: Hirsutella minnesotensis 3608
Lineage: Eukaryota; Fungi; Ascomycota; Sordariomycetes; Hypocreales; Ophiocordycipitaceae
Description: tRNA-Gly (CCC) (tRNA-Gly-CCC-2-1)
Rfam family: tRNA
About the family: Transfer RNA (tRNA) molecules are approximately 80 nucleotides in length. Their secondary structure includes four short double-helical elements and three loops (D, anti-codon, and T loops).
Source: RNAcentral
GACACUUUGGCCGAGUGGUUAAGAUUAGUCUACCCCUCCCCAGGCAUUGGGUUCGCCCGCGCAGGUUCGAAUCCUGCAGGUGUCG